This 474-nucleotide ribosomal RNA is filed under the name Escherichia coli. RNAcentral describes it as "bacterial SSU rRNA". It matches the Rfam family "Bacterial small subunit ribosomal RNA", at positions 1 to 471 of the family's 1533-position model. Lineage: Bacteria; Pseudomonadati; Pseudomonadota; Gammaproteobacteria; Enterobacterales; Enterobacteriaceae. The record is from RNAcentral.
AAAUUGAAGAGUUUGAUCAUGGCUCAGAUUGAACGCUGGCGGCAGGCCUAACACAUGCAAGUCGAACGGUAACAGGGAUCAGCUUGCUGAUUCGCUGACGAGUGGCGGACGGGUGAGUAAUGUCUGGGAAACUGCCUGAUGGAGGGGGAUAACUACUGGAAACGGUAGCUAAUACCGCAUAACGUCGCAAGACCAAAGAGGGGGACCUUCGGGCCUCUUGCCAUCGGAUGUGCCCAGAUGGGAUUAGCUAGUAGGUGGGGUAACGGCUCACCUAGGCGACGAUCCCUAGCUGGUCUGAGAGGAUGACCAGCCACACUGGAACUGAGACACGGUCCAGACUCCUACGGGAGGCAGCAGUGGGGAAUAUUGCACAAUGGGCGCAAGCCUGAUGCAGCCAUGCCGCGUGUAUGAAGAAGGCCUUCGGGUUGUAAAGUACUUUCAGCGGGGAGGAAGGGAGUAAAGUUAAUACCUUUG